GUGCUAGCUUCAGCAGCACAUAUACUAAAAUUGGAAAAAUACAGAGAAUGUUAGCAUGGCCCCUGUGUAAGGAUGAUAAGCAAAUUCAUGAAGCAUUCCAUAUUUUG
Otolemur garnettii (small-eared galago) is the source of this 107-nucleotide small nuclear RNA. The record is from Ensembl. Lineage: Eukaryota; Metazoa; Chordata; Mammalia; Primates; Galagidae.